This 75-nucleotide transfer RNA is filed under the name Caudoviricetes sp. RNAcentral describes it as "tRNA-Gln". It matches the Rfam family "tRNA". From Rfam's summary of the family: Transfer RNA (tRNA) molecules are approximately 80 nucleotides in length. Their secondary structure includes four short double-helical elements and three loops (D, anti-codon, and T loops). The record is from RNAcentral. Lineage: Duplodnaviria; Heunggongvirae; Uroviricota; Caudoviricetes.
ACAGAUUUAGCCAAGCGGAAAGGCACGGGACUUUGACUCCCGUAUGCGUCGGUUCGAAUCCGGCAAUCUGUGCCA